Molecule: ribosomal RNA, 1493 nt
Filed under: uncultured microorganism
Description: bacterial SSU rRNA
Rfam family: Bacterial small subunit ribosomal RNA
Source: RNAcentral
CGAUUAGAGUUUGAUCCUGGCUCAGGAUGAACGCUGGUGGUAUGCCUAAUACAUGCAAGUCGAACGAAGCCUUUUUAAGGCUUAGUGGCAAACGGGUGAGUAAUGUAUGUUUAACCUACCUUAAAGUCUGGAAUAACCAUUGGAAACGAUGGCUAAUACCGGAUAAUAUAUUUUUAGGCAUCUUUAAAUGUUGAAAGAUGCGUUUGCAUCGCUUUUAAAUGGGAACAUAUUGCAUUAGCUUGUUGGUGAGGUAAAAGCUCACCAAGGCGAUGAUGCAUAGCCGAACUGAGAGGUUGAUCGGCCACAAUGGGACUGAGACACGGCCCAUACUCCUACGGGAGGCAGCAGUAGGGAAUUUUUCACAAUGGACGAAAGUCUGAUGAAGCAAUACCACGUGGAGGAUGACGGAUUUAGGUCUGUAAACUCCUGUUAUAGGGAAAGAAAAAAUUGGAAAGGAAAUGUUCCAAUAUUGACGUUACCCUGUUAGAAAGUCAUGGCUAACUACGUGCCAGCAGCCGCGGUAAUACGUANAUGGCGAGCGUUAUCCGGAUUUAUUGGGCGUAAAGAGUGCACAGGUGGUUAAAUAAGUUUGAUGUUUAAUGCUAUGGCUCAACCAUAGUGCGCAUUGAAAACUGUUUGACUAGAAUUCAAGUGGGGAUAGUGGAAUUCCAUGUGUAGCGGUAGAAUGCAUAAAUAUAUGGAGGAACACCAGUGGCGAAGGCGGCUAUCUGAAUUGAUAUUGACACUUAAGCACGAAAGCGUGGGGAGCAAAUAGGAUUAGAUACCCUAGUAGUCCACGCUGUAAACGAUCUAUACUAGACGUUGCCUUUGAAGGGCAGUGUCGCAGCUAACGCAUUAAGUAUAGCGCCUGGGUAGUAUGCACGCAAGUGUGAAACUCAAAGGAAUUGACGGGGACCCGCACAAGCGGUGGAGCAUGUGGAUUAAUUCGAUGAUACGCGAAGAACCUUACCUACACUUGACAUACCCAGCGAAGUUAUAGAGAUAUAAUGGAGGUUAUCUGGUGUACAGGUGGUGCAUGGUUGUCGUCAGCUCGUGUCGUGAGAUGUUUGGUUAAGUCCAGCAACGAGCGCAACCCCUAUUCUAUGUUACUAAUAUUAAGUUAAGGACUCAUGGAAGACUGCCUAGGCAACUAGGAGGAAGGUGGGGACGACGUCAAAUCAUCAUGCCCCUUAUGUGUAGGGCUUCACACGUGCUACAAUGGUUAUAACAAAGUGUUGCAAUAUCGUGAGAUGGAGCUAAUCACAAAAAAUAAUCUCAGUUCGGAUUGUAGUCUGCAACUCGACUACAUGAAGUUGGAAUCGCUAGUAAUCAUAGGUCAGCAAUACUAUGGUGAAUACGUUCUCGGGUCUUGUACACACCGCCCGUCAAACCACGAAAGUCGGCAAUGCUUAAAACUAGUGUUCUAACCAUUUUUUGGAAGAAGCUAUCUAGAGUAGGGUUGAUGAUUGGGGUUAAGUCGUAACAAGGUAACC